ACUGCCUGGUAAAAAGAUCCAAAUGUCCAAACCGACACUCUCUUUUUGUUCUUCAAAGACACACGGUAUCGUUUUCUGGUUUUCUUAUCUUGGAUUCGAUUUCUUCAGAUAGAAAAAAUCUCAAAAUCUUCUCAUCAAUUCUUGAUCCAUUUCUUCAAUUCAAAUCAAGCUGAAUUUGAAGUACCCCUCCAUUAAUUAGUAAAACCCUAAUUAUCAGUAUUUCAAAUACAGGAACUGAAACAGAAGGUUCUUGCUUUCAUUUCUAGGGUUUUGAAGCUUCAAUCGUCUAUUAAAGUUGGGCAUUGUGAACAAAUAGAGUCAAAUGAUUCGAACAAUAGUGAUGGCGAAGAAACACCAUUACAUGUGUUUGAAAUGGAAACUUUGGAUUCCGAUAGACGCAGAAGUUUUUGUAUUGAUCAACAAUUUGAUUCAAUGGAUGCAUUAGAGAUCUUAAAGGAAGCUGUAAGCCUGUAAGAAUACUUAGAUACGAUAAUUCGGCUUUCAUGUUGAUAUUGUUUCUACUCAUUUGUCCUUUAUCUGCACUAUCUUUGUCUAAUUUAUUGCUAGAUCAAUCUUUGGCGAAGAGUCUAAGUACUAAGCUUAUGUUAGUAGGGCAGUCAAGCGGACUGCCUAUGAAGCCUCUUAUUAAAAAGUUUUGCAUUAGUUUAUCGGAAAUGACAGUUUCUUUCGCAUUUAGUUUGCCGUUUUACAUCACAUUUUCACUACUAUCAAAAGCAUCAACUGUUUAUGCUGUUGAUUGCACUUAUCUGAGAACACACUUUCACAACUCCAAGUUCUUUGCUGUCAUCGGUAAGAUCUGGAAACGUCUUUUAUGGACGUAUUAUCGGUAUGUAUGCUUAUAAUUAGCUGCAUUGCCUUGUUUCUUGUUUUUGUCAGCGGUAUCUGCAAUGUGUUCUCAUUCCUAGGCUUUCCACCUCAUAUGAUUACUUAUCCAUUUGUAGUGGUGGGAUUGGUGUUUGUUAUAUUCGCCAACGCUAUUAUUGUAUGCAAACUUUCAAUUGUAAACUCUAUCUUGGAGGAUAUAUCGGGUAGACGGGCUAUUCUUAAAUCGAGUUCCCUGAUUCAAGGACAGAUUCAAGUUGGUCUUCUGAUAUCUUUCGGGUCCAUGAUUGGAAUGGCGUUUGUGGAAGGGUUGUAUGAUCAUAGAGUUAAUACAGUGAGAUAUGGAGAUGGGUCUUCUAGGUUAUGGGAAGGGUCUCUGUUGGUGUUUAUGUAUUCAUUUAUUGUUCUGAUCGACCACAUCAUGAGUGCAGUUUUCUACUUCAUAUGCAAGUCUUCAUCUAGUAUGGAAACCUCAGAAAAGGAAGAUCAAGCACUCGUAGCAACAAUGAUUCCUUCAGCUUGAUAAGUGAAUAUUUCGUUUAUUACACUCCUGCUUCUGAUUCCUAUCUCCCGGAAUGAUAAGCAGACACCAGAUUUGGUUUUAACUGCAGAAGCUUGCAGUGUACAAAAUCUUUGUAUUCAGUUCUAUGCUGAAGUUCUUUUAUGGCAUCUGGAUUCAACUAGGUUUUGUCCCGAUUGAACUGUUGGCAUUCAUAAUUUAUUUCAAGUUACUUUGAGGUGUUAUGAAAUGUUCAUCCAUGUAUUUCACCUUUGUAAAACAACUUAUGUUUAAGAGCCAUAGUGAGAAUAAAACUGAAGUGUUCCUUCUUUCUGUGA
Molecule: long non-coding RNA, 1680 nt
Organism: Papaver somniferum (opium poppy)
Lineage: Eukaryota; Viridiplantae; Streptophyta; Magnoliopsida; Ranunculales; Papaveraceae
Exons: 2
Source: RefSeq, a predicted model, not a curated record